AGGUGAAUGGAAGGGAUCACAACGCGAAGAAGGCUAGGGUGGAGGAGCGUGGCUCCUCGAGUCUGGUUUUUCUACCUCCGAGAGUAGAAGAAUGGAUAAAGGAUGCUGGUGAGGAAAGAAAAGGGAAGAGCUCCCCAAUGUCUUAUCGUGGUUCCUUAUUGCUCAAGAAGUGGCGGAAAUACUGGUUUCUGCCUGAUGCGAAUGACGAGGAAGGAGAAAAGUCUGGUUUCAGAGUUGGCAUGGAUUUAGAUAAUGGAGUAGAUCCUCAGUCAGGUAUCUCUGUUGAUCUUGGUGAUCUGCUUUGUCCUAUAUUUACUCUAUCUGAGCGAGAGACGGAAAGACUUUGCAAACCUUUUGCCAAGUCUUAGAUUGUCAAACUUCUUGGUCAGUCAAUUGGUUAUGGUUUGUUGGAAUCUAAGCCAAGAUAAAUCUGGUCGAAGAAUGGGGAUAUCAGGUUGGGGGAUUUGGAGAACGACUUCUUUGUCAUAAAGGGCUUUGACAAGGGGGCCAUGGGUUGUGUCAGAUUGCUGUCAGAGUGUGAUGAGAUGGAGGCCCGCUUUUAAUCCGAUUACAGAAACCAUAGAUGGAAUUGCUACUUGGGUCAGGUUUCUAGGGAUUGAUGUUAAACUCUUUGAUGAGAAGGUCUUAUACAACAUUGCUUGCUCUAUCGGAAAAGUUUUAAAGCUGGAAGUUCACAUGGCAAGUAGAGAACAUAACAAGUAUUUGGCUAGAUAUUACUCAUAAUGUGUGCUAGGAAGUCAGGAAUAGAAGAAAAGUGAGAUUUUGGAUCAAUUGUUGGUUGAAAAAGGAAGGUAAACUUGCUAGUACAUUUUUGGGUGCGGUAGAGGACUUGAAUUUGGAUCUAAGAGUUAAUGAGGCUUACACUAGAGAAGGCCUGUGGAAUUGGGACUGGUUGCAGUCAGUUUUACCUACUGAGAUGAUUCUAAAGAUUCAAGCUAUUCCCUCUCCUUGUAUAGAAGAUGGAAAUGAUAGGUUGGUGUGGCAAGGUGGAAGGAGUGGCAAUUACCCUGCUGCUGAGAUGUAUACACUAUGCAGGGGCUCGGCUUUGGAGGAUCAGGAUGGGAUUUGGAAGAUUGUGUGGAAGCUAACAGUGACUAGACGUAUUCAAGUCUUUACGUGGCUUGCUAUUCAAGAUCGUCUGCUCAUUGCUAAGAGACGAUGUAGGAUGCUGGGGGAGAUACGAAGUGUGUCUGAUGUGAGUUUACAGAUCAGGAUCUCAAGCAUGUUCUUCGUUACUGUCCCAAAGCUAGGAGGAUCUCGCAUGAGCUGGAGAAAGUUGAUCUAGCUACCAAAUUCUUCACUGACCAGAGUAGGGAUGGUUCCUCUUAAAUUUGUCAAAAAAGGAACUUGGAGUGUGACUUUCCGUGUGUGCUGUUCGUGGCCUUGGCGUUGGCGGCUUUGGCAUUGGCGGAACUGUGAGAUUUUUGAAGAAGGAUUUGUGCUACUAGAGAAUCCUACUAUAGUUGUGACGAAUUAUGUUUGGGAAUGCCUGUCUUCUGCUAGGUUGAUAAUUAUGGCACACGCAAAGAAAAUAAAGGCAUUAAGUGGCAAUAUCCUCCUUCUGGUUGUGGGAGCAUCUUGAGAUCGGAUAAUGGUAGCUGGAUCACGACUUUUUCGAAAAACUGUGAUGCUCUUUCUGCUAAAUUAUCGGGUGCUAUUCUGGGAUUUAAAUUAGCGCAGGAACUAGGAAUUAGUAAGCUUGUAGUGGAAGGUGACUCUGUAGUGAUACAAUAUUCGAUGGAAGCAUGGAGGCGCGAGGGAAUUUGCUGUAGGAUUAUAAACUCUUGGAUGAGUGAAGCUGAUACGAAUAUGCAUAUUUCUUUUGUACAUACCUACAGAGAAGAAAAUUUUAUUGCUGAUUUCUUAGCUAACACUGGUUUGUUGGGUAAUUUUGGGUUGUAUAGGUAUCAUACACCCCCUACAGGCAUGGUGAAUUUGCUAUUUGGAGACGUUGUGGGAGCUGCUCUCUCAAGAUUUAGCACAAUUGAUUGAUAAGAUGGGUUGGGCGUGAUGCCCCGGUAUUUACCCAAAACAAAAGUUUUUUUUCCCCCCCAUAUACUAAGUGAUCAACCACUUUACCCGAAGACAUACUUGAGCAAACCUCUACUCAGAGAGUUAUUUGAGUAAGAGUUUUGUUUUCAAUUUGUUACUCGAGCACCUACUCGAGUAAUAUCAACAAAAUUUGCUUAUCAGAUUCUGAUCCUGAUUCGAUUCAUUGAUUUUGAGGAAGAUACUUCAAGGAAAAUGUUCCUAACUUGCGAUUAUAUGUUAUCAACUACUAAUGAUCUACUUUGGAGUAUGAUUUGUACAAGAUUAUGCCACAACGAAAAAAAUGAUGUGGGUGAUUAGCUUACGAUUAGAAGCAUUUAAUGUUCUCAAUUGAAACUCGUGACCUUCUAGUUAGCUAUUAAAAUAUUUCAAGAAUUGUUGAAGUUUUAUUUUUAAUAAAUUACUUUAUAAGGUAAAAAA
Molecule: long non-coding RNA, 2490 nt
Organism: Neltuma alba
Lineage: Eukaryota; Viridiplantae; Streptophyta; Magnoliopsida; Fabales; Fabaceae
Exons: 2
Source: RefSeq, a predicted model, not a curated record